UACGGGGGGGGCUAGCGUUGUUCGGAAUUACUGGGCGUAAAGGGCGCGUAGGCGGUCUACUAAGUUGGAUGUGAAAACUCUGGGCUUAACCCAGAGCCUGCAUUCAAAACUGAUAGGCUAGAGUUCUGGAGGGGAUAGCGGAAUUCCUGGUGUAGCGGUGAAAUGCGUAGAUAUCAGGAGGAACACCGGUGGCGAAGGCGGCUAUCUGGACCGGCAUUGACGCUGAGGCGCGAAAGCGUGGGGAGCGAACAGG
RNAcentral lists this ribosomal RNA (253 nucleotides) under uncultured bacterium. Its description in RNAcentral is "partial 16S ribosomal RNA". It matches the Rfam family "Bacterial small subunit ribosomal RNA", at positions 524 to 776 of the family's 1533-position model. The record is from RNAcentral.